Molecule: ribosomal RNA, 114 nt
Filed under: Escherichia coli
Lineage: Bacteria; Pseudomonadati; Pseudomonadota; Gammaproteobacteria; Enterobacterales; Enterobacteriaceae
Also listed under: 1 other name
Source: RNAcentral
UGGCGGCCGUAGCGCGGUGGUCCCACCUGACCCCAUGCCGAACUCAGAAGUGAAACGCCGUAGCGCCGAUGGUAGUGUGGGGUCUCCCCAUGCGAGAGUAGGGAACUGCCAGAC